UACGGGGGGGGCAAGCGUUGUUCGGAAUUACUGGGCGUAAAGCGCACGUAGGCGGCUUUGUAAGUUAGAGGUGAAAGCCCGGGGCUCAACCCCGGAAUUGCCUUUAAGACUGCAUCGCUAGAAUUGUGGAGAGGUAUGUGGAAUUCCGAGUGUAGAGGUGAAAUUCGUAGAUAUUCGGAAGAACACCAGUGGCGAAGGCGACUUACUGGACACAUAUUGACGCUGAGGUGCGAAAGCGUGGGGAGCAAACAGG
RNAcentral lists this ribosomal RNA (253 nucleotides) under uncultured bacterium. RNAcentral's name for it is "partial 16S ribosomal RNA". It matches the Rfam family "Bacterial small subunit ribosomal RNA", at positions 524 to 776 of the family's 1533-position model. The record is from RNAcentral.